UGACGGGACCGCACAAGCGGUGGAUGAUGUGGAUUAAUUCGAUGCAACGCGAAAACCUUACUACCCUUGACAUGUCCGGAAUCCCGAAGAGAUUUGGGAGUGCUCGCAAGAGAACCGGAACACAGGUGCUGCAUGGCUGUCGUCAGCUCGUGUCGUGAGAUGUUGGGUUAAGUCCCGCAACGAGCGCAACCCUUGUCAUUAGUUGCCAUCAUUUGGUUGGGCACUCUAAUGAGACUGCCGGUGACAAACCGGAGGAAGGUGGGGAUGACGUCAAGUCCUCAUGGCCCUUAUGGGUAGGGCUUCACACGUCAUACAAUGGUCGGUACAGAGGGUUGCCAACCCGCGAGGGGGAGCUAAUCCCACAAAGCCGAUCGUAGUCCGGAUCGCAGUCUGCAACUCGACUGCGUGAAGUCGGAAUCGCUAGUAAUCGUGGAUCAGCAUGUCACGGUGAAUACGUUCCCGGGUCUU
RNAcentral lists this ribosomal RNA (468 nucleotides) under uncultured Rhodocyclaceae bacterium. RNAcentral describes it as "bacterial SSU rRNA". It matches the Rfam family "Bacterial small subunit ribosomal RNA", at positions 917 to 1381 of the family's 1533-position model. The record is from RNAcentral. Lineage: Bacteria; Pseudomonadati; Pseudomonadota; Betaproteobacteria; Rhodocyclales; Rhodocyclaceae.